Molecule: long non-coding RNA, 1406 nt
Filed under: Neogobius melanostomus (round goby)
Lineage: Eukaryota; Metazoa; Chordata; Actinopteri; Gobiiformes; Gobiidae
Description: lncRNA (ENSNMLG00000001825.1)
Source: RNAcentral
GCUCUUCCGUUUUUUUUUCUUCCUUAACUUUAGGAGCACCGUAGACGUUGGACUUUGUGACAGUUAAUCAACAAUUGUUCAUUACCACAACAGAAUUCCUAGCUGCCCAUUAACUCAAGACCUUUUAUAAUGCUGUAAUGUAAUUUCUUUGCAGGCAUUUGGCCAUCCAAAAGAUGGAGUAUGCCUAAAAUACACUCUUGUUACGCCGACUAUUGCACGGUAGAUGGCAGCAGUACAGCAGCGCAAUGCUCGUCGACUGUAACUCAAAAAGAAGAACCUGCAGCUCAACCAUGUUUUAAUCGAGAACAAUUGCAUUUGGCGCACUGCAUGGCUUUCCUAUAAAGAAACCUUCUGAUUGUAUGUUGGGUUGUCCCCCUAGUUAAGAGCACAAUCAGCCCAGAUUCAACGUUAGGGUUUGCACACUGAGGACCAUGAUGGAGAGAAAACGAGCCUUAACCAUUCCAUUUGCUCUUGAGAAGGACAAAUUAAUAGAGAAUCCACUCAGAAUCCCCACAUCAUACCUUGAGUGUGAACGAUUUGAACAACAGGUUUCCUGGACUGCAAUUGCCGGCCAUAAAUCCAGACGACGUGAUUCACGACACAAGAAUGGAGCAGUGCUGUUUGACCAUAACCAUGCUGCUAUGGUUAGGUUGGGCUUGGCAGUGAGGAAGCCCCGUCUGAUUCUGACAGAUGUCCUCAAGACUGACGCGGGCAAGGUUUACAUGGAGAAGAUAAAACGGCGCCCAAAUGGGAAGGAGAGGAGAAGUCGUGGCAAAGAUCCACCCAUAGUCGCCAGGGACAGGCGGUCCAGUCAAACAAAAAACACAAACUUACUACCGAGUGUACCACCUAGGAUCAAGCAGACUCCCAAAUUAUCACGAUCAAGUCCAAGAUCUUCAAAAAAGGCACAAAUUGAGAAGGAGGAGGAUGGACAAGGAGAUAAUGACGUGGUAUCUGGUGAAAAUGGGAACGUUGAACUUGUGGAUUGUGGAUUGUCUCUGAGUUGGGAACAAGAAGAUCUAAAUUUAUCUAAAUGUAAGGCCAAAGAAACAUCGAAAGAACCAAAAAAGACAAUACAGCAGAAAAGGAAAACAAAUGACUCAUUUUCAGAAUGUCCUGAAACAGACAGCCCCAAACGCCCCAGGGCGAGUGUUUUGCGCCUCUCUGGAGUUGCGAAUAUGGAUGGAGAACCCACCCUUUUUCCAGAGAAAGAAGCAGAUGACAAGGAUUCGAAAAACACAGAUAGUCCUAUUGUGCAGUUUACUGUGGGAGGAGCAAAUGCAGAAACCACAAUGCCCGUGCCAGAGGAUAAUGGUGCAACCACUGACACAGCUGAACCUAUUGUUCUUUCCAGUGAUGAAGAAGACGGUGGGGAAAAAAUUGAGAAUCUGAAACCUAUCUCACAG